AGUGCAGGAAGAGGCCUUUGUCAAAAGCAGGCUCAGUAUGGCAGCUGUCCCAGGCCUGGCCCCAUUUCCUUCCCUCCCCACUCCUCCUUUCUCGUGGUGGCUUUCUCGCUCUUUUUCUUGGUGUGGGGCUGGGGCCUCUCGGGACUUAUCAGGUGCACCCAUUCACUGGGCUUCACUGUAUGAGAUGGGGCUCAGCUGGAGGCAGCAAGUGUCGGGGGAAGAAAGGGCUGAUUGAAUUUGCUUUGGGACCAGCUCCAAGUCCUGCAAGGCUUGCAAAUGUUUAGGGGGAGAUUUCCAUAUCACUCUAAAGUUGCUUGUCUUUCUCCCAAAGGGAAAGGCUGCUGCCAAAAGUGGAGGACUUAAAGCUGGAGGCCGCCCCAAAGACGGGGAAAUGAAGAAAACGCCGUUUCUGGAGCUCCCUGAGGUGAGUGUGUGCGCGCGAGUGCACGUGUGCUAGUCUUUGGCUCCUUGUUAAUUCCCUAUAACAGAUCACAGUGCCGAGGAGAAGCCAGGGCGUCUCUAGGCAUUUGGCCAGCAGGAGGGGCACAGUAGGCUGGACAGCAGCGGUGGGCCUGCUCCUGCUCCCCUAGGAUUCAUCUUAGCCUGACUGAUCAGUAAUUUCAGCACUCUGCCUUACUUAGAAAUCUCCAGGAACUUCUCCGUGAAUUUACAAUAAAAUCCAAACUACUCUCCCUGGCUCUCGAAGUCCUAAGAGAUCUGCCCCUGCUAACUUCUCUGACAUCACUCCCUCCAUGGUCCUCACUCCCUCCAUGGUCCUCUUGCUCACACCACUCUACCGCACUGAAGCCUUGCCUUUUCUCACCUGCCACGCCAUGUCCAUGUCAGGAUCCCUUCCUAUGCCCUUGCCUGGAAGGCUCCCCCAGGUCUCUGCAUGGCUUGCCUCCUCUAGAGUACAGGUCUUCGCUCUAAUAUGGCUUGCUCAGAGAAGCCUGCUCUGACCCUUCAACUUAAAACCAUUCUCCCCUAAUUUCCAUCACUCUAUCUUGCUUGAUAGUUUUUCCUUUAUGAUACAUCACUGUCUGAAAUUAUCUUGUUUAUUGAUUUUUUUGUUUAUUGUUUUAUCUUCCCCUAGAGUAAAAGUAUGAGGUCGGAGAUUUCAGCUUGUAUGCCCAGCAGCUUAAACUGUGCCUGGGUUUACAUGCUGGGUUUUUAGUAGAUAUUGAAGGAGCAAAUGGAUAGUGUUACUGAAUUGACCUCCUGAGAGUGAAGCUUUGAGAGCGUCUGAUCCGAAAAAAGGCUUUUCAUUGUCCUUCAAGAUCCUUCAAAAUCUGGCCCAAACUUUCUUUAUAUUCUUAUCUUGCAUGACACUCUUUCCUAUCACUUUUAAUCUAUCUAAAGUGGGCUUUGUUUUCCACUUUCUCGCUGCUCUUUCUCACCUUGGGAUUCUGUUCACAUCAGUUUCUCUAACCAGCAAGCCAUUCCCCUCGUAUCCUCAGUUCCUCUUAAAAUAACGCAUAGCCCAUCAUCUCCUCUUCUGUAAGGCGGUUGCCUUUGCACAUUCCCUUGCCUGGAGAAGCCCUUUUUUUACUCUGAAUUUCCAUGAGACUUGCACUCUUUUAGGCUGUGACUUGCAGCAUUGUACCUAGUAAUGUUAGUCAUUCACUAUAUCCUCAGUAUCUAGCACCUGCCGCAUAGUAGGCACACAAUACAUAUUUGUUAAAUGGGUGAAUAUUAUAGUUUUGUUAUCUUUUUACACUGUAAAUGUCAUGGAAGGGUCUAUUUUGUUUAUCUGUGUAACCUCCUACAGCAUCUAGCAUGCUUGUUGAAUGAGUGAAUAAAUGAAAGCUAUUAUUCCCAACUCCAGGUGUAGUUCAACUCAAAUAAUGAAUAAAUCUCCCAAUUGUCUGGGCCAUCUUUUGACAUUCCUCCUCCCUUUGGGCACAUUGUUUUGUUUACAUCCCCAUGAAUGCUGUGUUCAGAAUAGCAAUACUAGCAACUGAUGAUUGUGGUAUGCGGAAUUCUAAGAGAGCAUCUGCCAAGAUUCCGAGCCGUUGGCAUAACCAUGUUUUCCCCAUUAUUUUAAACAUUAAUCUAGGUACUUCUGUGCAACGGAUUUGCAGAUAUAUUUAAGGCAUUGAAUCAGUUAACUUUAAGUUAGGGAGAUUAUUCAGGUGGGCUGGACCUAACCACUUGAGCCCUAUAAAACCAGAGAAUUUUCUUUGCUCACACACAAGAAAAGAAGUCAGAGAUUUGAAGCAUUAAGGAAUUGGAUGCACAAGUAUUUCUCUGUUGCUAACUCUGAAGAUGCAGGGGACCACGUGAUAAGGGAUGUGGGUGGCCUCUAGGCCCUGAGGGUGACCCCCACAUGACAGCUAGCAAGGAAAUGAGGACCACAGUCAUACAACUGCAGAAAACUCAAUUCUGCCCAACCACAGGAGCUCAGAAGCAGAUUCUGCUCAGCCGCAGAUGGAAACCAUACCUGAGGCAACGCCUGAAUUUCAGUCCGGUCAGGUCCUGAGUGGGAACCCAGCCAUGCCAUGCCCAGACUUCUGACCUACUAAAACCUUGUGAUAAUAAAUCUAUGUUGCUUUAAGUUGCUAAGUAUGGCACUUUUUGUGACACAACCAUAGGAAACUGAUACAGUGAUGAGGAUGAAGGCAUAGAGAAACAACCUUCAAGAAGGACUGGACGAAAGAAAGAGCAACAGCAGUCCCCAAGUUUUGCAUCUCUGUCUUAUGACUCUGAUUCUUCAGCUCCAAGCUCCACAACCACUAACAACUACAGGUCUUGAUUCUGUCCCUGGCCACUCAGGUACCCUCUAAGAAAGAGGAUUGAGACAUGAUUAAUAAAUGAAUGUCUUCUUUU
This 2826-nucleotide long non-coding RNA is filed under the name Homo sapiens (human). RNAcentral's name for it is "non-protein coding lnc-SPATA19-9:3". The record is from RNAcentral. Lineage: Eukaryota; Metazoa; Chordata; Mammalia; Primates; Hominidae.